CAGGCUGCGUGGUUCUCCAUGGACUAUGGAGUAGGUGAGAAAAUGCAUAGAGGCUGCGGGCCGACGGCGGGGUGCUAGAGAUGCGAGAGAUGGCUGCGGCGGCAGCAUGAACAUCUGCAUCAAACCUGCCGCGACGUCUGUGUCAGAACGCAGCGCACAUGACGCCCACCUCCGCCUCGCCGUUGCAGAGAAAGACAGCGACGAGCCCGCAGAUGAGCGCUGCUUGGGUCGACGCGGAGGAGAUCAAGGUCGUUGCCGAGGGCGUGCGUUGUGUCAGCCGGUGGGUGCGGCCUCUGCAAGAUAACAUCUGAACCGAGCACGCAGCUUCGUCUUUGCUAGAGAAGAAGCAGAAUGAGGAGCAGUCUCCACCACGUCGAAGCUGACGAUUUCGAUGAAGCUCGCCGCCCUCUCCGCCGUACUAGUCUAGGACUGCAGGCCGCCGUGAGAAAACCCAGGGAGAAAGAGCACGAUUGACUUGAGGGAGAAAAAUUAUUCUCAUGUAAUUGCAGGUCCCAUGUCUGUUCUGUGCAGAUCAACUUUGAUUCGUGGUCGAUCCCGGCGCCCUGGGACCGGCGGUUGGGGGGAACAACGUCGAUCCAAUCGGCACGACAUCUGAGCAGCAGCGUGAACCGCGGCACUCGGCGACGAAAUACCAGGGCGGCGUGGGAUGUGAGCGUUCUUCAGAUGAAUACCCAUGGCCAAGGCAGAAGCGGCCGUGUCGGCGGCGGCGGAUCCCAUCUCUUCCUCCGCUUCUCCUACAUCGGAGCUGAGCACCCAUGGCGGCGGUCGAGCCCAUCGCCUCCGCCGCCCAGGACCUCCACAAAACAUGGCUCCUACUAGGAUCUCAGCCAAUGCAUACCGGAGCUCGACCUAGACCCGUCGCUCUCGGCAUGCCGCCCAUGAGUGUGGUCGACAUCGGCAGCGGGUUCAUGGCCGGCCCGCGUUCGACGAGGCGGCCGCGGUCAUCAGCGAGGCACCGUGCCGGCCUGCGGACGAGCAUCGCUGCUGUGGGGAAUUUCUCCUCUAGUGAUUUGUCUCUCUGCAGUUCUCAUGUGCUACUGUAUUAAUUACGGGUCCACCUAAAGUAUUCCCCUUCGUAUAGACAGUUUUGUAUAAAAUUGGCUUGUUUCUGUAGUAGGUCCCGCAACCAGCACAGACCAAUAGGAGGCUGAUUUCCGCCGGGAGCAAAUGCCGCCCGGUUCAACAACGAGUUUUCCGGGUA
Non-coding RNA from Lolium perenne, 1222 nucleotides. NCBI's taxonomy places the organism in Eukaryota, Viridiplantae, Streptophyta, Magnoliopsida, Poales, Poaceae. The record is from RefSeq and is a predicted model, not a curated record.